AUUGAACGCUGGCGGCAGGCUUAACACAUGCAAGUCGAGCGGAGAUGAGGUGCUUGCACCUUAUCUUAGCGGCGGACGGGUGAGUAAUGCUUAGGAAUCUGCCUAUUAGUGGGGGACAACAUUCCGAAAGGAAUGCUAAUACCGCAUACGUCCUACGGGAGAAAGCAGGGGAUCUUCGGACCAUGCGCCAAUAGAUGAGCCUAGGUCGGAUUAGCUAGUUGGUGGGGUAAAGGCGUACCAAGGCGACGAUCUGUAGCGGGUCUGAGAGGAUGAUCCGCCACACUGGGACUGAGACACGGCCCAGACUCCUACGGGAGGCAGCAGUGGGGAAUAUUGGACAAUGGGGGGAACCCUGAUCCAGCCAUGCCGCGUGUGUGAAGAAGGCCUUAUGGUUGUAAAGCACUUUAAGCGAGGAGGAGGCUACUGAGACUAAUACUCUUGGAUAGUGGACGUUACUCGCAGAAUAAGCACCGGCUAACUCUGUGCCAGCCGCCGCGGUAA
Molecule: ribosomal RNA, 501 nt
Filed under: uncultured bacterium
Lineage: Bacteria
Description: partial 16S ribosomal RNA
Rfam family: Bacterial small subunit ribosomal RNA
Source: RNAcentral